UGUUCCCUUCUCUGUAGGUCGCUUUGGAUAAAAGCGUCUAUUAAAUGACUAAAU
Non-coding RNA from Larimichthys crocea (large yellow croaker), 54 nucleotides. NCBI's taxonomy places the organism in Eukaryota, Metazoa, Chordata, Actinopteri, Sciaenidae. The record is from Rfam.